CUGGAGAUGAUAUUUGGGGUGGAUCUGAAGUCACAAAAAAUUUUUUUCUUGAACCUGAAGAUGAAAAAUAAGAGAUCGAGAGCUCACUAAGUUAUGGGUCAUACCAUUUAAUAUAUGACAUAGAUAUUCUUCUCGAUCAUGAAAAAUGUUUACUUUUCAACGUAACAAUCCUCUAAACUGUUUUUGAAAAAAUGAAGCACCGCAAUCUAAAUGUUUACCAAAAAUUGAA
Cotesia glomerata is the source of this 229-nucleotide long non-coding RNA. RefSeq lists it as uncharacterized. The transcript has 4 exons. The record is from RefSeq and is a predicted model, not a curated record. Lineage: Eukaryota; Metazoa; Arthropoda; Insecta; Hymenoptera; Braconidae.